CCGGCACGGGUGAGUAACACGUAUCCAACCUGCCGUCUACUCUUGGACAGCCUUCUGAAAGGAAGAUUAAUACAAGAUGGCAUCAUGAGUCCGCAUGUCCACAUGAUUAAAGGUAUUCCGGUAGACGAUGGGGAUGCGUUCCAUUAGAUAGUAGGCGGGGUAACGGCCCACCUAGUCUUCGACGGAUAGGGGUUCUGAGAGGAAGGUCCCCCACAUUGGAACUGAGACACGGUCCAA
Molecule: ribosomal RNA, 237 nt
Filed under: uncultured bacterium
Lineage: Bacteria
Description: partial 16S ribosomal RNA
Rfam family: Bacterial small subunit ribosomal RNA
Source: RNAcentral